GUUAACUUUGUAACAAUUUGUAUUGUAAAAAGCGCUAUACAAAUAAACUUGAAUUGAAUUUACUUUAACUUUAUAGAUGCAGGUUCCAAGGAUGACGACUGUGAGGGACACAUCUUGGAUGUGGGGAUCAGAAGAGGCUCCAGAAUCCUUGAGGUGUCCUUAUGGCGGGACCAGGCCUCGUCAAUGAUAAUUUUCACAUAUGUCACCUCCGAGCAAACGCCAAGGCUACUAAGUUAAACUCAACCAUCCACACAACCGUAGAGGUUCUGGAGCAAGGACCAGUGGUGGAAGAAAUGGUGGUGAUUGGCUUCUUGAAGCUAAUGUUGAGGUCUUGUUGCCAGCUGAGGACUUCAGUGAAUACACAGCACUUCCUGAACUGACUGAAGAGAGUCUAGAAGAUCUUCUGUGCAGCUUCCACUUCAUUUAGAAGGCCCAUUACCAAAAUGAGCUAGUUGCAUAUCUUCACCAUCUUGUGCACUUAGCAAGCAAACGCAUCGAGUACAGACACAUGUGCAGGAAAUCUGUUUCCCAGCUACAAAAAGUGAGGAUGAUGCUCAUCAAUUCCCAUUUUAAAUCUACAGCUGCUGUGUGAUCCUGAUCCUCUUGAUAUCUUCUUGUGGAAAGAUGAAGCUCUCUGUGUCUUACACAUUAGAGAUGACGUAGAGAUCACCAACAUUUAUAGUGACAAAGGUGCCUCGAGGAAGAGGGAGUUUUCAUUCA
This is a long non-coding RNA of Carassius auratus (goldfish), 720 nucleotides long. RefSeq lists it as uncharacterized. NCBI's taxonomy places the organism in Eukaryota, Metazoa, Chordata, Actinopteri, Cypriniformes, Cyprinidae. The record is from RefSeq and is a predicted model, not a curated record. The transcript is spliced from 4 exons.